AGGGCGAUGCGGGCGCGCGUCG
This 22-nucleotide unclassified non-coding RNA is filed under the name Mus musculus (house mouse). RNAcentral describes it as "oocyte_clustered_small_RNA13432". Lineage: Eukaryota; Metazoa; Chordata; Mammalia; Rodentia; Muridae. The record is from RNAcentral.